RNAcentral lists this long non-coding RNA (7857 nucleotides) under Homo sapiens (human). RNAcentral describes it as "HSALNT0087273". The record is from RNAcentral. Lineage: Eukaryota; Metazoa; Chordata; Mammalia; Primates; Hominidae.
GAAAAGGACCCUGAAGAAGAAAUCCAAAUACCUGGAAUCCUGUCUCUACCCUAGCAUUAAAGAAACAGCUCUUUAUUACUACUGAGCAACUUAAUCUCCUAUUAUCUUGGAUUUGUCCUUAUUUCUCUGCAUUCAGUUUCUUCUUCUCUACCUCUAAAGUACUAUGUCUUCACCUAUGCUCUCCAUACAGCAGUGACAGAAGGGGAAUUAAAGAGUUGGGUUUCCUCCCUCUCCCUCUCCCCACGGUCUCCCUCUCCCUCUCUUUCUACGGUCUCCCUCUGAUGCCUAGCGGAAGCUGGACUGUACUGCUGCCAUCUCGGCUCACUGCAACCUCCCUGUCUGAUUCUCCUGCCUCAGCCUGCCCAGUGCCUGUGAUUGCAGGCGCGCGCUGCCACGCCUGACUGGUUUUCAUAUUUUUUUGGUGGAGACGGGGUUUCGCUGUGUUGGCCGGGCUGGUCUCCAGCUCCUAACCGCGAGUGAUCUGCCAGCCUCGGCCUCCCGAGGUGCCGGGAUUGCAGACAGAGUCUCAUUCACUCAGUGCUCAAUGGUGCCCAGGCUGGAGUGCAGUGGCGUGAUCUCGGCUAGCUACAACCUCCACCUCCCAGCCGCCUGCCUUGGCCUCCCAAAGUGCCAAGAUUGCAGCCUCUGCCCGGACGCCACCCCAUCUGGGAAGUGAGGAGUGUCUCUGCCUGGCCGCCCAUCAUCUGGGAUGUGAGGAGCCCCUCUGCCCGACUGCCCAGUCUGGGAAGUGAAGAGCACCUCUUCCCGGCCGCCAUCCCAUCUAGGAAGUGAGGAGCGUCUCUGCCCGGCCGCCCAUCGUCUGAGAUGUGGGGAGCGCCUCUGCCCCGCCGCCCCGUCUGGGAUGUGAGGAGCGCCUCUGCCGGGCCGCGACCCCAUCUGGGAGAUGAGGAGCGUCUCUGCCCGGCCGCCCCAUCUGAGAAGUGAGGAGCCCCUCUGCCUGGCAGCCGCCCUGUCUGAGAAGUGAGGAGCCCCUCUGCCCGGCAGCCGACCCGUCUGAGAAGUGAGGAGCCUCUCCGCCUGGCAGCCGCCCCGUCUGAGAAGUGAGGAGCCCCUCCGCCCGGCAGCUGCCCUGUCUGGCCAUAGACUCUCCAACUCCUGCAACUGUCUGGAAUUUCUUCUCUCUCCAAUCCAUCUCUAGUAUUGAUGACAUAGUCUGGAACGGAACUAGCAAUAUCUCCAUGGAAUACCUGUAAUGAGCAGAUUUAACCUAAGAUGAGAAAAUAUUUCCACUGAAGUUUGAAAUUUAAGUACGUGUUAGCCAGGUAAAGUAGGGGGAAAAGUAUUUCAAGCAGAGGUUAAAGUCCCUGUGUUAAGGCUGUGAGGCCCAAGGGAAGGAGCUUUCCCUUUAAAAAGGACUGAAAGAAAGCAAAUGUGGUUUAAGCAUGGUUAGGGAGGAAAGAGGCCUGAAGGGGAGGGAAUCCUGGAGUGGGAUACAGAGGUAGGCAGGCAGAGUACAGAACAUUAGGGAUUUAUGGACUCAAGAUUUAUAUUCUCUGACACCAAAUUAGGAAAAAAAGAGGUCUCUAUUUUUGGCCAAGUUGUGUGUGUGUGUGUGUGUGUGUGUGUGUGUGUGUGUGUUUUAAACAGCUUUAUUGAGGUAUAAUUGUUUAUUACAAGGUGUUUAAGUAGGCUGGGCACGGUGGCUCACAUCUGUAAUCCCAGCACUUUGGGAGGCCAAGGCAGGUGGACCACCUGAGGUCAGUAGUUCCAGACCAGCCUGGCCAACAUGGUGAAACCCCAUCUCUACUAAAAAUACAAAAAUUAGCUGAGCAUGGUGCCAGGCACCUGUAAUCCCAGCGACUCAGGAGGCUGAGGCAGGAGAAUUGCUUGAACCUGGGAGGGGGAGGUUGCAAUGAGCCAAGAUCGUGCCACUGCACUCCAGCCUGAACAACAGAGCAAGACUCCAUCUCAAAAACAAAAACAAAAACAGAAAACAACAAGGUGUUUAAGCAAAUGUGGCAGCACCACAGGAUGGGGGGGGCAACAUAAACCCCUAAUUUACCUCCAUUUAAAAAAGGCUGAUAUGCAAAUUGAUAUCAAUCUUCCAUGAAGUGUAAAUAAAGGCAUCUUUAAAGAUCACAUUUUCAUUGACCUGUAACAUCAGUUUGUAUCACAUAAUGCUAACUUAGUUCCUGUCCCACCCCCACCUUUUACCUUCUAAGAACCUCCUAUAUCGAAAUCCUAUCUACUACAGAGUUUUGUGAUGCUAUUUGUCCAUUAGAAAGAUUCUUGGAACUGCUAAGUGGAGAAAGGAUUAUAGGAUGCAAGGUUGAUGUGGAUAGCUCAGUAGAAGGUUUUUGAAAAAGCAACAGUAGAGAUCAUGGCAGCUUGGACGCAGGACCUGGGCAGUGAAGAUGAUGAGCACAGCUCCAGGAAAUAUUUAGGAGAUUGACUGUAUACUUGAUGGUGGUUGAACCUGGGGCUAAGGGAGGGGUAGGAGUCAUAGGCAAUCAGGGUUUCUGGUUGGGACAAGUGGAUAGGUGGCAGUGCUACUGAUAAGAAAGGGGAUGUUAAGAGGAAGAGCAAAUUUACUGAUAGCAUGAUUUAAAUUUUGUUAGUCCACCUGAUCGAAAUGGUAAAUUAGUAGAGGUCUGCAAUCAGGAGAUAGAAACAAAUCUGGAGGUCACUGGCUGAUAGCUGCUAACUGAAGCUACAGGAGAGGAUGAAAUAGUCCAAGAAUAUUGUGACAUGAGAAAAGAAUGUUUAGGACUGAACUUUGAAGAACACUAGUAUGUACAGAUUAGGUAAAGGAAGAGAAGCCCACAAAAACAUUGAGGAGGAACAGCAUGAAGAUGGAAAGCAAGUUAACUGUGUCCUAAAUGCCUAGAGGUUUUCUUUUUCUUUUUUUUUUUUUUGAGACAGAGUCUCACUCUGUCACGCAGGCUGGAGUGCAGUGGUGCAAUCUGGGUUCACUACAAGCUCCGCCUCCCAGGUUCACGCCAUUCUCCUGCCUCAGCUUCCUGAGUAGCUGGGACUACAGGCGCCCACCACCACGCCAGGCUAAUUUUUUGUAUUUUUAGUAGAGAUGGGGUUUCACCGUCUUAGCCAGGAUGGUCUCGAUCUCCUGACCUUGUGAUCCGCCCGCCUCGGCCUCCCAAAGUGCUGGGAUUACAGGCAUGAGCCACCGCGCCCAGCCUGAGGUUUUCAAUUUUAGUGUCACUUAACAAUGUCACAUAUUGAGAAAAUUUAUUUGUUGCUUCCCUCUUCCCUCUCCCCUCUCCCCUCUCCCCACGGUCUCCCUCUCUUUCCACGGUCUCCCUCUGAUGCCGAGCCGAAGCUGGACUGUACUGCUGCCAUCUCGGCUCACUGCAACCUCCCUGCCUGAUUCUCCUGCCUCAGCCUGCCGAGUGCCUGCGAUUGCAGGAGCGCGCCGCCACGCCUGACUGGUUUUCGUAUUUUUUUGGUGGAGAAGGGGUUUCGCUGUGUUGGCCGGGCUGGUCUCCAGCUCCUAACCGCGAGUGAUCUGCCAGCCUCGGCCUCCCGAGGUGCCGGGAUUGCAGACGGAGUCUGGUUCACUCAGUGCUCAAUGGUGCCCAGGCUGGAGUGCAGUGGCGUGAUCUCGGCUCGCUACAACCUCCACCUCCCAGCCGCCUGCCUUGGCCUCCCAAAGUGCCGAGAUUGCAGCCUCUGCCUCGCCACCACCCCGUUUGGGAAGUGAGGAGCGUCUCUGCCUGGCCACCCAUCGUCUGGGACGUGAGGAGCCCCUCUGCCUGGCUGCCCAGUCUGGAAAGUGAGGAGCGUCUCUGCCCGGCCGCCAUCCCAUCUAGGAAGUGAGGAGCGCCUCUUCCCGGCCUCCCAUCGUCUGAGAUGUGGGGAGCGCCUCUGCCCCGCUGCCCCGUCUGGGAUGUGAGGAGCGCCUCUACCCGGCCGCGACCCCGUCUGGGAGGUGAGGAGCGUCUCUGCCCGGCUGCCCCGUCUGAGAAGUGAGGAGUCCCUCCGCCCGGCAGCUGCCCCGUCUGAGAAGUGAGGAGCCCCUCCGUCCGGCAGCCGCCCCGUCUGGGAAGUGAGGAGCCCCUCCGCCCGGCAGCCACCCCGUCUGGGAGGGAGGUGGGGGUCAGCCCCCCACCCGGCCAGCCGCCCCGCCCGGGAGGUGAGGGGCGCCUCUGCCCGGCUGCCCCUACUGGGAAGUGAGGAGCCCCUCUGCCCAGCCAGCCGCCCCGUCCGGGAGGGAGGUGGGGGGGUCAGCCCCCCGCCCGGCCAGCUGCCCCGUCCGGGAGGUGAGGGGCGCCUCUGCCCGGCCGCCCCUACUGGGAAGUGAGGAGCCCCUCUACCCGGCCACCACCCCGUCUGGGAGGUGUAUCGAACAGCUCAUUGAGAACAGGCCAUGAUGACAAUGGCGGUUUUGUGGAAUACAAAGGGGGGAAAGGUGGGGAAAAGAUUGAGAAAUCGGAUGGUUGCCGCGUCUGUGUAGAAAGAGGUAGACAUGGGAGACUUUUCAUUUUGUUCUGUACUAAGAAAAAUUCUUAUCCUGUUGAUCUGUGACCUUACCCCCAACCCUGUGCUCUCUGAAACAUGUGCUGUGUCCACUCAGAGUUAAAUGGAUUAAGGGCGGUGCAAGAUGUGCUUUGUUAAACAGAUGCUUGAAGGCAGCAUGCUCGUUAAGAGUCAUCACCACUCCCUAACCUCAAGGACCCAGGGACACAAACAUUGCGGAAGGCCGCAGGGUCCUCUGCCUAGGAAAGCCAUAGACCUUUGUUCACUUGUUUAUCUGCUGACCUUCCCUCCACUAUUGUCCUAUGACCCUGCCAAAUCCCCCUCUGCGAGAAACACCCAAGAAUGAUCAAUAAAAAAUAAAAAAAUAAUAAAAAAAAAAGAAAAAAAAGAAAAAAACAAUGUCACAUAUUGCCACAGGAUAAGCUAAGGAUGAAAUCUCUCCAGGACUUAGUGUCAUAGAGGUCAUUGGUGACUCUAGUGAGGGCCACUGUAUAUAGUGGGGGCAGGAGCCAUAGUGGGUUUUAAGCUCAAAUAGGAGGUAAGGACAUGGAAAACAUGGGAAGGCACUUGAGAAGUCUGACUAUGAAGCAGAGAUAGGACUGUGGUCAGAUACAAAUAUGAGAAGCAGAUUUCUUCUGAUGAGAAUGGUGUGUUCAACUGUCCAUGCAAAGAGCCAAUGGAGAAAGAGAGGAAAAAUACAGACCAAGUAACAACAGACUCCAUGAGAGAACGAGAGGAGAUAGGAUUGCAGCACAUGUUGAAUAACUGGCCUUUAAUAAGAGGAGGGAUUCUUCCUGUACAGGAAGAGGAGGGAUGAAGUGAAUGCAGAUGCAUUUGUGUACAUGGGUAUCAUGGUUUUUUUUUCCCCUGUGAAGUAAUCAGUUAGGGGGUGAAAGGGGCUUUAGAGGGAAAGGGGUUUGAAAUAGUUACAGAAGGAUUGAAGAGAAACACAUUAACAUUGUUGGCAGUACUGACAGCCUAACUCAAUGUGCUGAGCAUGAAUUUACAGUGAUAAAAAUCUACCAGAAACGACCUCCAGCUGCAAGGAUGCAGAAGCAGUGUUGGGUUCAUCCAGGGCUGGUAUUUUGCCAGGCUGACACAAUAGAGCAGCAGCAUACAUGAGCUUAAAUUAUUUACAUCUGCUGAAGUCUAGUCCGCCAAAGAUCACCAGGCUCAAGCCUGUCUUCUGACAAAACCAUUUAUUGAUUUGCAAGCAAGGGAACCAGAAGCAGCAAAGAUGGUGCAUUCCACAAGAGGGCAGGGGGUGCCAUCUUUGGUAAGGUUUGGGUUCCCAGUGUAGGGUUCUGAGCAAGCUAUAAGGGAAAGGAGACCAGUUCUGGGUUGGAUGCUAUUUCUGUAGCAAGAUUAGAUGUGAGAAUUAACUAGAGAUUGGUGCUGCAAUGAGGUGAGGGCAAGUUUAGCAACUGGAUAUCCCCAGUAGUAGAUGGGUUAUAGCAAAAUAGGUCUAAGGGUGUCACAGCCAACAAAGCAGUGGUCACAUGAGGGAGUCAUGAUGGUAUUUUAUAGCUGCUGCAGGACCUAACAGUUUCAUGUUAACUUUGCAGCUGCCUUGCCUGUCCCCCUGACAGUGGUGGAGCUUUUUUUUUCAGUUUGAGCCACUUUGAGUCCUAGAGUUUACUUUCAUACCAAACAUCCUCCUCUCAUUAAAUGUGAAUGAUUUUUCCCCCUAAAGUACAACUUAAUCCAUAUGCAUCUGUCCUCUCUAAAGAUUUAAUGAAAUACCUAAUUAUAGAAUUAAGCUUGCUUUCUGGCAAGACCCAGCCUAGAGUGAACGUUAAGUUUUAGACCAUCCCCUAAAUCACCAAAGCCCAAAUCCUACCACAGAUUCUAACACACUCUUACUGAUGCACCCCACAACUCCCACAAGGUGUAUGUUCUCCUUUACUGCAACAAUAAGCUCAGGCCGGGCGAGGUGGCUCACGCCUGUAAUCCCAGCACUUUGGGAGGCCGAGGUGGGCAGAUCAUCUGAGAUUGGGAGCUUGAGGCCAACCUGGCCAACAUGGCGAAACCCCGUCUCUACUAAAAAUACAAAAUUAGCCGGGCAUGGUGGUGCGUGCCUGUAAUCCCAGCUACUUGGGAGGCUGAGGCAGAAUUGCUUGAACCCGGGAGGCAGAGGUUGAGGUGAGCUGAGAUCACGCCACUGCACUCCAGCCUGGGCAACAAGAACAAUACUCUGCCUCAAAAAACAAACAAACAAACAAAAAAAAAAACAAAACCCAGUAAGCUCAACAUGUUCAGGUACAGUGUGUUCCUGGUAGUCUAUGGCUGGAGAGCAUUAACAACAUAAAGACAGAGGGUCAGAGUUGAUGACAACUUCUAGGUUAAGACCAAUAUUUGUGGUUUUUUUUUUUUUUUUGCCAGAACGCAAGACUAUAUUUACUAGCAGCUCUGUGUCCUUGCUCAUUGGAAAAUGAUCUUUCCUCAAGACUUGCUGACACGUUUCUGUUUAAGGCAUGACAAUCCUAAAGGCCAACAAUUGUGGACGGGGGCAACUCUUCCUUUCAUUAUGUACUGGUGUAGUCAAUUAUGCAAAGUCUGGUCAACCAAAGACCACCAGGCUCAAGCCAUCAGUUUUAAAAUAUGGCCACAUGCUCCUUGAUGGCCUAUGUGAUAUGGCUUUAGUAACUCCCUUAGGACCAAGAGAAUAUAAUGGAACUAAUGCUGUGUAACUUCCAAAUGCAGCUGCUUUCUGGGUCUUUUGAAAUGGCCCUUCAGAAUCCAGGCAACAUGCUGUGAGAAGUUCAAGCUACAUGGACAAGUGUAGAUGGUUCUGGUGAACGAUUCCAAUCUAGUCUUGGCUUUAAAAGUCAUCUCAGUACCAUGAAUUCAGAUGAUUAUAGCUCUCAGAUAUUCAAAUUACCCUCAGCCCUUAGUUUUCCUUGCCUAGGCCUCAGACAUCAUAGAAUAAAGCCAUCCCCAUUGUGCCCUCUCCAAGUUCCUGAACUAUAGAGUCCAUGAGCAUAAUAAAAUGAUUGUUUUAAGAUGCUAGAUUUCUGUGCUUUUUUUAUUAAGCAUAAUACCGGGAACAGAUAUUGAUCUUGUCGGUAGCUACUGUGAGUAGAGCAGUAGUUGGUGACAAUGAGCUAGUAGACAAAUACUGGACAGUUAUUCACAGAGCAGCUGCUAGAAGUUUCAAGUAUAUGCAGUUAGCAUUCCUUGUCCCUGGUCUAAUGUACCAUCUCUUCUCUACACCUCCUCUCCCUCCAAUAUUUAUAGUCAGUGCUAUCUUUAGAGAACUGCAGAUUAUGUUAAUAGCUGCCAUGUUACAGGAGCCAUUUUGAAAAACAUUUCUUACUACAACUUCCAAAAACCACAAUUACGUACAUUAUUUCCUUUAUAGAAGGAAUUUUAAAGUUUUAAUGUUUUAUAUUUGCUAGUUUU